This 495-nucleotide ribosomal RNA is filed under the name uncultured bacterium. Its description in RNAcentral is "partial 16S ribosomal RNA". It matches the Rfam family "Bacterial small subunit ribosomal RNA", at positions 28 to 505 of the family's 1533-position model. The record is from RNAcentral.
GAUGAACGCUGGCGGCGUGCCUAAUACAUGCAAGUCGAGCGAACAGAUGAGGAGCUUGCUCCUCUGACGUUAGCGGCGGACGGGUGAGUAACACGUGGAUAACCUACCUAUAAGACUGGGAUAACUUCGGGAAACCGGAGCUAAUACCGGAUAAUAUAUUGAACCGCAUGGUUCAAUAGUGAAAGACGGUUUUGCUGUCACUUAUAGAUGGAUCCGCGCCGCAUUAGCUAGUUGGUAAGGUAACGGCUUACCAAGGCAACGAUGCGUAGCCGACCUGAGAGGGUGAUCGGCCACACUGGAACUGAGACACGGUCCAGACUCCUACGGGAGGCAGCAGUAGGGAAUCUUCCGCAAUGGGCGAAAGCCUGACGGAGCAACGCCGCGUGAGUGAUGAAGGUCUUCGGAUCGUAAAACUCUGUUAUUAGGGAAGAACAAAUGUGUAAGUAACUAUGCACGUCUUGACGGUACCUAAUCAGAAGGCCACGGCUAACUACG